UUAAGCGACUAAGCGUACACGGUGGAUGCCCUGGCAGUCAGAGGCGAUGAAGGACGUGCUAAUCUGCGAUAAGCGUCGGUAAGGUGAUAUGAACCGUUAUAACCGGCGAUUUCCGAAUGGGGAAACCCAGUGUGUUUCGACACACUAUCAUUAACUGAAUCCAUAGGUUAAUGAGGCGAACCGGGGGAACUGAAACAUCUAAGUACCCCGAGGAAAAGAAAUCAACCGAGAUUCCCCCAGUAGCGGCGAGCGAACGGGGAGCAGCCCAGAGCCUGAAUCAGUGUGUGUGUUAGUGGAAGCGUCUGGAAAGGCGUGCGAUACAGGGUGACAGCCCCGUACACAAAAAUGCACAUAUUGUGAGCUCGAUGAGUAGGGCGGGACACGUGGUAUCCUGUCUGAAUAUGGGGGGACCAUCCUCCAAGGCUAAAUACUCCUGACUGACCGAUAGUGAACCAGUACCGUGAGGGAAAGGCGAAAAGAACCCCGGCGAGGGGAGUGAAAAAGAACCUGAAACCGUGUACGUACAAGCAGUGGGAGCACGCUUAGGCGUGUGACUGCGUACCUUUUGUAUAAUGGGUCAGCGACUUAUAUUCUGUAGCAAGGUUAACCGAAUAGGGGAGCCGAAGGGAAACCGAGUCUUAACUGGGCGUUAAGUUGCAGGGUAUAGACCCGAAACCCGGUGAUCUAGCCAUGGGCAGGUUGAAGGUUGGGUAACACUAACUGGAGGACCGAACCGACUAAUGUUGAAAAAUUAGCGGAUGACUUGUGGCUGGGGGUGAAAGGCCAAUCAAACCGGGAGAUAGCUGGUUCUCCCCGAAAGCUAUUUAGGUAGCGCCUCGUGAAUUCAUCUCCGGGGGUAGAGCACUGUUUCGGCAAGGGGGUCAUCCCGACUUACCAACCCGAUGCAAACUGCGAAUACCGGAGAAUGUUAUCACGGGAGACACACGGCGGGUGCUAACGUCCGUCGUGAAGAGGGAAACAACCCAGACCGCCAGCUAAGGUCCCAAAGUCAUGGUUAAGUGGGAAACGAUGUGGGAAGGCCCAGACAGCCAGGAUGUUGGCUUAGAAGCAGCCAUCAUUUAAAGAAAGCGUAAUAGCUCACUGGUCGAGUCGGCCUGCGCGGAAGAUGUAACGGGGCUAAACCAUGCACCGAAGCUGCGGCAGCGACGCUGAUGCGUUGUUGGGUAGGGGAGCGUUCUGUAAGCCUGCGAAGGUGUGCUGUGAGGCAUGCUGGAGGUAUCAGAAGUGCGAAUGCUGACAUAAGUAACGAUAAAGCGGGUGAAAAGCCCGCUCGCCGGAAGACCAAGGGUUCCUGUCCAACGUUAAUCGGGGCAGGGUGAGUCGACCCCUAAGGCGAGGCCGAAAGGCGUAGUCGAUGGGAAACAGGUUAAUAUUCCUGUACUUGGUGUUACUGCGAAGGGGGGGACGGAGAAGGCUAUGUUGGCCGGGCGACGGUUGUCCCGGUUUAAGCGUGUAGGCUGGUUUUCCAGGCAAAUCCGGAAAAUCAAGGCUGAGGCGUGAUGACGAGGCACUACGGUGCUGAAGCAACAAAUGCCCUGCUUCCAGGAAAAGCCUCUAAGCAUCAGGUAACAUCAAAUCGUACCCCAAACCGACACAGGUGGUCAGGUAGAGAAUACCAAGGCGCUUGAGAGAACUCGGGUGAAGGAACUAGGCAAAAUGGUGCCGUAACUUCGGGAGAAGGCACGCUGAUAUGUAGGUGAAGCGACUUGCUCGUGGAGCUGAAAUCAGUCGAAGAUACCAGCUGGCUGCAACUGUUUAUUAAAAACACAGCACUGUGCAAACACGAAAGUGGACGUAUACGGUGUGACGCCUGCCCGGUGCCGGAAGGUUAAUUGAUGGGGUUAGCGCAAGCGAAGCUCUUGAUCGAAGCCCCGGUAAACGGCGGCCGUAACUAUAACGGUCCUAAGGUAGCGAAAUUCCUUGUCGGGUAAGUUCCGACCUGCACGAAUGGCGUAAUGAUGGCCAGGCUGUCUCCACCCGAGACUCAGUGAAAUUGAACUCGCUGUGAAGAUGCAGUGUACCCGCGGCAAGACGGAAAGACCCCGUGAACCUUUACUAUAGCUUGACACUGAACAUUGAGCCUUGAUGUGUAGGAUAGGUGGGAGGCUUUGAAGUGUGGACGCCAGUCUGCAUGGAGCCGACCUUGAAAUACCACCCUUUAAUGUUUGAUGUUCUAACGUGGACCCGUAAUCCGGGUUGCGGACAGUGUCUGGUGGGUAGUUUGACUGGGGCGGUCUCCUCCUAAAGAGUAACGGAGGAGCACGAAGGUUGGCUAAUCCUGGUCGGACAUCAGGAGGUUAGUGCAAUGGCAUAAGCCAGCUUGACUGCGAGCGUGACGGCGCGAGCAGGUGCGAAAGCAGGUCAUAGUGAUCCGGUGGUUCUGAAUGGAAGGGCCAUCGCUCAACGGAUAAAAGGUACUCCGGGGAUAACAGGCUGAUACCGCCCAAGAGUUCAUAUCGACGGCGGUGUUUGGCACCUCGAUGUCGGCUCAUCACAUCCUGGGGCUGAAGUAGGUCCCAAGGGUAUGGCUGUUCGCCAUUUAAAGUGGUACGCGAGCUGGGUUUAGAACGUCGUGAGACAGUUCGGUCCCUAUCUGCCGUGGGCGCUGGAGAACUGAGGGGGGCUGCUCCUAGUACGAGAGGACCGGAGUGGACGCAUCACUGGUGUUCGGGUUGUCAUGCCAAUGGCACUGCCCGGUAGCUAAAUGCGGAAGAGAUAAGUGCUGAAAGCAUCUAAGCACGAAACUUGCCCCGAGAUGAGUUCUCCCUGACCCUUUAAGGGUCCUGAAGGAACGUUGAAGACGACGACGUUGAUAGGCCGGGUGUGUAAGCGCAGCGAUGCGUUGAGCUAACCGGUACUAAUGAACCGUGAGGCUUAACCUU
Molecule: ribosomal RNA, 2903 nt
Filed under: Escherichia coli O104:H4 str. 04-8351
Lineage: Bacteria; Pseudomonadati; Pseudomonadota; Gammaproteobacteria; Enterobacterales; Enterobacteriaceae
Description: bacterial LSU rRNA
Rfam family: Bacterial large subunit ribosomal RNA
Source: RNAcentral